GAGCUUGUAGCUCAGUGGAGAGAGUGCAUGGCUACGAACUAUGAGGUCAAGGGUUCAAGUCCCUUCUUGCUCA
This 73-nucleotide transfer RNA is filed under the name Nitzschia sp. PL3-2. Its description in RNAcentral is "tRNA-Arg". It matches the Rfam family "tRNA". Rfam says of the family: Transfer RNA (tRNA) molecules are approximately 80 nucleotides in length. Lineage: Eukaryota; Bacillariophyta; Bacillariophyceae; Bacillariales; Bacillariaceae. The record is from RNAcentral.